RNAcentral lists this ribosomal RNA (449 nucleotides) under uncultured bacterium. RNAcentral describes it as "partial 16S ribosomal RNA". It matches the Rfam family "Bacterial small subunit ribosomal RNA", at positions 29 to 523 of the family's 1533-position model. The record is from RNAcentral.
AGCGAACGCUGGCGGCAGGCCUAACACAUGCAAGUCGAACGGACCCUUCGGGGUUAGUGGCGGACGGGUGAGUAACACGUGGGAACGUGCCUUUAGGUUCGGAAUAGCUCCUGGAAACGGGUGGAAAUGCCGAAUGUGCCCUUCGGGGGAAAGAUUUAUCACCUUUAGAGCGGCCCGCGUCUGAUUAGCUAGUUGGUGAGGUAAUGGCUCACCAAGGCGACGAUCAGUAGCUGGUCUGAGAGGAUGACCAGCCACACUGGGACUGAGACACGGCCCAGACUCCUACGGGAGGCAGCAGUGGGGAAUCUUGCGCAAUGGGCGAAAGCCUGACGCAGCCAUGCCGCGUGAAUGAUGAAGGUCUUAGGAUUGUAAAAUUCUUUCACCGGGGACGAUAAUGACGGUACCCGGAGAAGAAGCCCCGGCUAACUUCGUGCCAGCAGCCGCCGUAA